This 2928-nucleotide ribosomal RNA is filed under the name Salmonella enterica subsp. enterica. Its description in RNAcentral is "23S ribosomal RNA". It matches the Rfam family "Bacterial large subunit ribosomal RNA". Lineage: Bacteria; Pseudomonadati; Pseudomonadota; Gammaproteobacteria; Enterobacterales; Enterobacteriaceae. The record is from RNAcentral.
GGGUUGUGAGGUUAAGCGACUAAGCGUACACGGUGGAUGCCCUGGCAGUCAGAGGCGAUGAAGGGCGUGCUAAUCUGCGAUAAGCGCCGGUAAGGUGAUAUGAACCGUUAUAACCGGCGAUACCCGAAUGGGGAAACCCAGUGUGACUCGUCACACUAUCAUUAACUGAAUCCAUAGGUUAAUGAGGCGAACCGGGGGAACUGAAACAUCUAAGUACCCCGAGGAAAAGAAAUCAACCGAGAUUCCCCCAGUAGCGGCGAGCGAACGGGGAGGAGCCCAGAGCCUGAAUCAGCAUGUGUGUUAGUGGAAGCGUCUGGAAAGGCGCGCGAUACAGGGUGACAGCCCCGUACACAAAAGCGCAUGUGCUGUGAGCUCGAUGAGUAGGGCGGGACACGUGGUAUCCUGUCUGAAUAUGGGGGGACCAUCCUCCAAGGCUAAAUACUCCUGACUGACCGAUAGUGAACCAGUACCGUGAGGGAAAGGCGAAAAGAACCCCGGCGAGGGGAGUGAAAAAGAACCUGAAACCGUGUACGUACAAGCAGUGGGAGCACAGGUUUACCUGUGUGACUGCGUACCUUUUGUAUAAUGGGUCAGCGACUUAUAUUCUGUAGCAAGGUUAACCGAAUAGGGGAGCCGCAGGGAAACCGAGUCUUAACCGGGCGUUAAGUUGCAGGGUAUAGACCCGAAACCCGGUGAUCUAGCCAUGGGCAGGUUGAAGGUUGGGUAACACUAACUGGAGGACCGAACCGACUAAUGUUGAAAAAUUAGCGGAUGACCUGUGGCUGGGGGUGAAAGGCCAAUCAAACCGGGAGAUAGCUGGUUCUCCCCGAAAGCUAUUUAGGUAGCGCCUCGUGAAUUCAUCUCCGGGGGUAGAGCACUGUUUCGGCUAGGGGGCCAUCCCGGCUUACCAACCCGAUGCAAACUGCGAAUACCGGAGAAUGUUAUCACGGGAGACACACGGCGGGUGCUAACGUCCGUCGUGAAGAGGGAAACAACCCAGACCGCCAGCUAAGGUCCCAAAGUCAUGGUUAAGUGGGAAACGAUGUGGGAAGGCCCAGACAGCCAGGAUGUUGGCUUAGAAGCAGCCAUCAUUUAAAGAAAGCGUAAUAGCUCACUGGUCGAGUCGGCCUGCGCGGAAGAUGUAACGGGGCUAAACCAUGCACCGAAGCUGCGGCAGCGACACUAUGUGUUGUUGGGUAGGGGAGCGUUCUGUAAGCCUGUGAAGGUGUGUCGUGAGGCAUGCUGGAGGUAUCAGAAGUGCGAAUGCUGACAUAAGUAACGAUAAAGCGGGUGAAAAGCCCGCUCGCCGGAAGACCAAGGGUUCCUGUCCAACGUUAAUCGGGGCAGGGUGAGUCGACCCCUAAGGCGAGGCCGAAAGGCGUAGUCGAUGGGAAACGGGUUAAUAUUCCCGUACUUGGUGUUACUGCGAAGGGGGGACGGAGAAGGCUAUGUUGGCCGGGCGACGGUUGUCCCGGUUUAAGCGUGUAGGUGUGUGUUCCAGGUAAAUCCGGUUCACUUUAACACUGAGGCGUGACGACGAGGCACUACGGUGCUGAAGCAACAAAUGCCCUGCUUCCAGGAAAAGCCUCUAAGCAUCAGGUAACAUCAAAUCGUACCCCAAACCGACACAGGUGGUCAGGUAGAGAAUACCAAGGCGCUUGAGAGAACUCGGGUGAAGGAACUAGGCAAAAUGGUGCCGUAACUUCGGGAGAAGGCACGCUGACACGUAGGUGAAGUGAUUUACUCACGGAGCUGAAGUCAGUCGAAGAUACCAGCUGGCUGCAACUGUUUAUUAAAAACACAGCACUGUGCAAACACGAAAGUGGACGUAUACGGUGUGACGCCUGCCCGGUGCCGGAAGGUUAAUUGAUGGGGUCAGCGCAAGCGAAGCUCCUGAUCGAAGCCCCGGUAAACGGCGGCCGUAACUAUAACGGUCCUAAGGUAGCGAAAUUCCUUGUCGGGUAAGUUCCGACCUGCACGAAUGGCGUAAUGAUGGCCAGGCUGUCUCCACCCGAGACUCAGUGAAAUUGAACUCGCUGUGAAGAUGCAGUGUACCCGCGGCAAGACGGAAAGACCCCGUGAACCUUUACUAUAGCUUGACACUGAACAUUGAGCCUUGAUGUGUAGGAUAGGUGGGAGGCUUUGAAGCGUGGACGCCAGUCUGCGUGGAGCCGACCUUGAAAUACCACCCUUUAAUGUUUGAUGUUCUAACGUGGACCCGUGAUCCGGGUUGCGGACAGUGUCUGGUGGGUAGUUUGACUGGGGCGGUCUCCUCCUAAAGAGUAACGGAGGAGCACGAAGGUUGGCUAAUCCUGGUCGGACAUCAGGAGGUUAGUGCAAUGGCAUAAGCCAGCUUGACUGCGAGCGUGACGGCGCGAGCAGGUGCGAAAGCAGGUCAUAGUGAUCCGGUGGUUCUGAAUGGAAGGGCCAUCGCUCAACGGAUAAAAGGUACUCCGGGGAUAACAGGCUGAUACCGCCCAAGAGUUCAUAUCGACGGCGGUGUUUGGCACCUCGAUGUCGGCUCAUCACAUCCUGGGGCUGAAGUAGGUCCCAAGGGUAUGGCUGUUCGCCAUUUAAAGUGGUACGCGAGCUGGGUUUAGAACGUCGUGAGACAGUUCGGUCCCUAUCUGCCGUGGGCGCUGGAGAACUGAGGGGGGCUGCUCCUAGUACGAGAGGACCGGAGUGGACGCAUCACUGGUGUUCGGGUUGUCAUGCCAAUGGCACUGCCCGGUAGCUAAAUGCGGAAGAGAUAAGUGCUGAAAGCAUCUAAGCACGAAACUUGCCCCGAGAUGAGUUCUCCCUGAGACUUUAAGUCUCCUGAAGGAACGUUGAAGACGACGACGUUGAUAGGCCGGGUGUGUAAGCGCAGCGAUGCGUUGAGCUAACCGGUACUAAUGAACCGUGAGGCUUAACCUUACAACGCCGAAG